Molecule: ribosomal RNA, 120 nt
Filed under: Salmo trutta (river trout)
Lineage: Eukaryota; Metazoa; Chordata; Actinopteri; Salmoniformes; Salmonidae
Source: RNAcentral
GCUUACGGCCAUACCAGCCUGAAUUACGCCCGAUCUCGUCCGAUCUCGAAGAAGCUAAGCAGGUCGGGCCUGGUAGUACUUGGAUGGGAGACCGCCUGGGAAUACCAGGUGCUGUAAGCU